CGGGACUUGGCGAGUCAGGCGGUUCUACAUCGUAUCCAACUGGCUCUCUAAGUCCUGAC
This 59-nucleotide microRNA precursor is filed under the name Branchiostoma lanceolatum (amphioxus). RNAcentral's name for it is "Bla-Mir-193-P1g2_pre stem-loop". Lineage: Eukaryota; Metazoa; Chordata; Leptocardii; Amphioxiformes; Branchiostomatidae. The record is from RNAcentral.